Molecule: long non-coding RNA, 2525 nt
Filed under: Fragaria vesca (wild strawberry)
Lineage: Eukaryota; Viridiplantae; Streptophyta; Magnoliopsida; Rosales; Rosaceae
Description: long non-coding RNA (FVES_LNC001317)
Source: RNAcentral
AGGUAUGCUAUUUCCUCUCUCUACUUUGCUUGUUGCUUCGCUUCAUUCUCAAUCCUCAAAUCCAACCCAACCCCACCUGCGAAAAGAUCGACCCUCGCUGCCCAAAGUGGGUAAUGUUGAGGUUGCCUUGAAAGAGUUCGAUGAAAUGCUUCACUCGCAUCUCCUGCCUUCUGUUGUCCAGUUCACUCAGAUCUUGAACCAACUUGUCAAAUUGAAUCAAUUUGAAGCAGUCCUCUCUUUGAAUUCACAAAUGGGUCUCCGUGGAAUUGUUCCUGAUAGUUAUACUCUUAGCAUUGUCAUCAAUUGCUACUCUCAUUUGAACAAAAUGGGGUAUGCCUUGUCUGUCUUGGGCCACUACUUCAAAUUGGGUCUUCAACCAGAUGUUGCAACCUUCACGGCUCUAAUCCACGGAUUUGUUCUCCAAAAUCGAGCGGCUGAUGCAGAAAGAGUUUUCAACAAAAUGGUGGAGGGAGGUUAUUGUCAGCCCAAUGUGGUUACUUUCAGCACAUUAAUAAAGGGCUUUUGCAUGAUUGGAAACUACACUGCGGCUAUUCAAUUACUCCGGAAUAUGGAAGAAAAUGGAUGCGAGCCUAACACAGUGUGCUAUAACACCAUCAUCGACAGCCUGGGCAAACAUACACUAGUUGACCAAGCAAAGAACCUCUUCUCGGAGAUGAUUGGUAGAGGUAUUGCUCCCAACGUUGUUACCUACACCUCAUUGAUUCAAGGAGUUUGCAAUAUAGGCCACUGGAAAGAAGCUACCACGUUGUUGUAUGAAAUGGUGAGUAAAGAUAUCUUCCCAGAUGUUUUCACCUUCAAUAUCCUCGUUGAUGCAUUUUGCAAAGAAGGUAAGGUUGUGGAAGCCAAAAGUCUGAUUCAGACGAUGAUUUAAAGAGGAAUUGAACCUGACAUGAUUACAUACAGUUCCCUUAUGGAUAAUCAUUGUUUGCGAGGAGAAAUGGACAAGGCCAAACGAGUUUUUGAUCUAAUGGUUACCAAGGGCUCCAUGGUUAAUGUUCAGAGAUGUAACAUUUUGAUUAACGGAUAUUGUAAGAGUGAAAAGAUCGAAAAGGCUUACGAGAGUUUCAAGGAAAUGCCUCUCAGGGGACUUGUUCCUGACGCCGUUACUUAUUCCACCCUUAUUGGUGCUUUUUGUAAAGCGGGGAGACUACAAGAAGCAGAGAAGUUGUUAUGCGAGAUGGAGGCUUCCGGCCAACUUCCAAAUGUUCGAACUUACACAGUUGUACUUAAAGCCCUAUGUAGCAACCAACAACUUUCUAAGGCAAAUGAACUGCUGAGAGAGAUGAAGGACAAGAAUUUGGAACUGGAUAUUGUAAUUUGCAAUAUCUUCAUUGAAGCUUUAUUUAAAGCUGGGAAAAUUGAAUCUGCAAUGAAGGUCUUCUCUGGUUUGUGGUCAAAAGUUGUUCAGCCUGAUGUGGUGACAUACAAUAUAAUGAUCAAGGGACUUUGUAAUGUUGGCCUCUUAGAUGAAGCAGUGAAGAUAUAUUGGCCUCCAUGAGUUGAUGGAGUUCAAAGAUUUCGAAAAUAGUGACAAAGAGAAGAUAUUGAAGUUUCCUAUUCGGAAGGUCUCUUGCCAUAUAGGUUGGGAUUUCCUUCUAUAUUUCUCAUCUUUUAUAUGGAUAGUUCUAGAUAUAUUUGGAAUGUAUUUUCAAAUAUAUUUUCAGUUUAUUAGGAUAUAGGCUGUUUAAGGUUAGUUCCUUUUCUAUACAAUUUAGAUUUAGAAAGUUGUUAUGGCAUUGAGGUGAUUCGGAUCUAGAUGGAAAAGAGGGCAGCUAGGUUCGGCUGCAAGGGUUUGGUUUAUAUAUAUACAUAUAUAUAUAUAUAUAUAUCUCUAGGUACGGCUGUAUACAUAUGUGGAGAUAGAGGUGCUAGGGUUUAACAUAUAUACAUAGAUAUAUAUAUGGUAGGGAGAAGAGAAAAACAUUGAGAAGAAAAUAUAGGUUUCGUGAAUGUGUGCUCUAGAGUUUUUGUGUGAACAAUAUUCAGAUCAUAGUAUAGUCCUGUGUGGCAAGAGACCUUCGUGACUCCAUUGAAGACCUUCGUGGCUUCAAGUCCUUCGUGGCAUUUCGAGACCUUCGUGGCUCCAUUCAAGACCUUCGUGGCUUCAAGUCCUUCGUGGCAUUUCAAGACCUUCGUGGCUUCAACGACCUCCGUGGCGUUAUCAUCCUUCGUGGCAACAAAGACCUUUGUGGCUUUGUAUUACACUUGACCGUGUUCUUCAAGUGUGAAGUAAUUUUACUUUUGAGAAUAUAUUACUUUUGAUCAUGUGUUGUCAAGUAAUUGUAAUCUUCUAUUCAAUAGUAAAGUAAAGUUCUUCUAUAUAAUCCGCUGCUUAUCUCAUAAUCGUUCUAUCUAGUAUUUUCAAGCAGAAAAAUUGUUUAGAGAAAUGGGAGAGAGAGGCUGUUCUGCUGAUGGCAGCACCUAUAACACUUUUAUCCGAGGGUUGUUAAAUAACAAUGAGGCAUCAAGGGCUACAAGGCUUAUUCCAGUAAUGCAUAAGAUGG